UAUACGGCUCACUGCUGCGGCGGGGCCGCCGCUUUUUCGGCUGGCCUCUCCCCGGCCCUCCCAUUGGAGCGCGCAAAGCUGCGCGGCACCAUUUAAAGAAGCAAACUGCACUCCACCACCACCACCACCACCACCGUCGCCACCAAGCACACCGCCGCACCACACGAUCCAACGCGCACCCCGGGGGAGGAGGAGGCAGGCGAGGAUCGAACCGGCUGGGGCUUUGGCUUCUCCGGUGAGGGUUCCUGCGUGCUGCCGCGCGAGAGCAGAAAGUAGAUCGGAUUUGGGCCGGGUUCUUGGAGCACUGGGCACCAAACUCGUCCAGGUUGUGCGAAAAUGCAGUGGAACCUGUAGCUAGUUUUUGAAAGACCAUCCUGUAGCUAGUUGAUCGGACCUCCUCACCUGAUACUGGCAUUUCUUUAAUUGUUUGGAGCUUGGGGAGCUUCCUUUAGGCUGGAAAUUUCUGAAGCUGUUCUGGAAAAUCUGUUGUGCCUGCAAAUGGCAGACGAUCCUAAUAUGAAUUUUGGGGCAUUUUCCCAGUCACUCUGCAACCAGCAUGUAGUUUCAUUUCAGACAAGUGCAACCACUAGUGGGUCUGGAGGCAUGCCAACGUACCUGGGUUGUUCCACUGGGAUGGAUGCCAGUGUGGGGAUGUUGAGCACCACACCUUCAGUGGUUGUUUCCACUGGUUCAUCUAAUAUGCCAGCUGAUCCAGGGCAGAACCUCAAAUACGGAGGGCCGCUGGCUGCAGAUUGGACACAUCUUGAGCUUCAAAUUCUGAGAGAUGGCCUGGAUAAAUAUGUUCAUGAACAAGGCAUCAUGAAGUAUAUAAAGAUAGCAGCAUCAUUACCGAACAAGACGGUAAGAGACGUCGCCAUGAGGUGCCAGUGGGUAGGGAAGAAAGUAAAUACAAGACGAAGGAAGCCCCAAGAACACCAUACUGGCAGAAAUAUAAAAGAAAGAAAGGAUAAAUUUGUAGAGCCUGCACUAUGGGGAGCAAAUCAUCCUCUUCAAACUGGCAUGAGAACCAAUUCAUUUGUGCCACAUAAUGUUCAAAACAAUCUAUUUCUAUCUGGAGGUUGGUAGGUCACUUGUGUAUCAGGUCUAAUUGAUUGCUUCCAUUUAUCUACUCUGUUUCUUGUUAUCUGCUGUUAACUGCUGUCACGUGCCAUUAUCAAUAUUAUACUCUGGCAUUUAAAAUUUUCACUUUCAGAGGGUAAAUACUGCUAAAUACUUGAGUGACUGAACUAUUUGACUUAUUAUUGACUCCAUUGCUAAGUUUAUCGCAGGUAGGAACUCCAUUGGAGCUUGAUAUUUAAUAUAUUGUUGAAUGCAUAUAUUUUUAACUCCUCUGAGAUAGAUCGUCCAGUACAUCAUCUACUGGAGGAAAAUAAUCAGCUUCUUAUUCAAAUAGAAACAAAUAUUCGGACAUUUCAGGCUCAGAACAACAUUGAUCUCUUCUGUCAGGCAAGAAGGAACAUUAAUGAUAUUCUACAUAUCACGACUCAACUGCCUGGAAUGAGUACCAAAAUGCCUCCGCUUCGCGUCUCAGUGAAUGAAGGUCUUGCUAGCUUCGUGCUUCCUGGCAUUUCAAUGGAUCAAAUUCUUGGAAGCAGCAAUUUGAAGGAGGAACCAAGAGGAUGGUAGGCCACUGCCAGCAGGUUUCAGUAUAAGCAGACUUUCAGACUUUUAUCCGUAGAUCCAUGGAACGUAUGGAGAACUACUACUUCAUUUUGCUCACAUCCAUGGAACGGUGCCUUGAACAUUGGUGGCUGAACAGCGAGGGUUUCAGGACCUGCAGUUUUUCUGGACUUGCUGCACCUGUAAAUAACUAUGAUUCUUCUGUGUUCCUCCUUAAGAUGCUAGGGUAAAUAGAUGUAGCAGAGGAAGUUCACAAGAACUAGUAGCUAAAUAGUACCUUAAAAACAAAACUAGCUACAUUGCAAGAAUGAAAGCCUUUUUGCCGGUCGCCA
RNA transcript from Panicum virgatum (switchgrass), 1973 nucleotides. RefSeq lists it as uncharacterized. NCBI's taxonomy places the organism in Eukaryota, Viridiplantae, Streptophyta, Magnoliopsida, Poales, Poaceae. The record is from RefSeq and is a predicted model, not a curated record. The transcript is spliced from 9 exons.